This 382-nucleotide ribosomal RNA is filed under the name uncultured bacterium. RNAcentral describes it as "partial 16S ribosomal RNA". It matches the Rfam family "Bacterial small subunit ribosomal RNA", at positions 355 to 730 of the family's 1533-position model. The record is from RNAcentral.
UGGGGAAUUUUGGACGAAUUGGGCGAAAGCCUGAUCCAGCAAUGCCGCGUGUGUGAAGAAGGCCUUCGGGUUGUAAAGCACUUUUGUCCGGAAAGAAAUCCUUGGCUCUAAUACAGUCGGGGGAUGACGGUACCGGAAGAAUAAGCACCGGCUAACUACGUGCCAGCAGCCGCGGUAAUACGUAGGGUGCAAGCGUUAAUCGGAAUUACUGGGCGUAAAGCGUGCGCAGGCGGUUUGCUAAGACCGAUGUGAAAUCCCCGGCUCAACUGGAACUGCAUUGGUGACUGGCAGGCUAGAGUAUGGCAGAGGGGGGUAGAAUUCCACGUGUAGCAGUGAAAUGCGUAGAGAUGUGGAGGAAUACCGAUGGCGAAGGCAGCCCCCU